CUUUGGAUCAAGAUGUAAGGAUUCUCAGCUCCAGCACCAAGUCUGACUGCAUGCUGCCAUGCUUCCCGCCAUGACAAUAAUGGACUGAACCUCUGAAUUGUUUUGAUGGUUACUGGAGAUGCUGAGUCCUCCUGUGGGGGACCCUUGGGGGCUAUAAACAGUCCAUUGCAUUCAAAUCUCUGUCCUGCAUUCCUGCUCUACAAGCAACUGUCAUUUGCUUAUUUGAGAUCACCUGUGAGUUGAAUGAUGGACAGACCUUCUCUGAAUUUCUAGUUAUCCACCCCCAUCUGUCACAGUGCCUGCUUCUGUGUCAGACACAUGCCUGAUGUGUCUGUGUGCUAGAACAAACACCGAGGACUAUAUAGCAUCAGGGAAAGCUCAGGCGGGAGGCAAGCAUGGCAAGAGCAGUCUGCAGUGUCAUAGGUGCAGUGCCCUCUGAGGAGGGAAGAAGGCGCUAGGAAAUGGAGACUCAAGGAAGAGCCCUUCAGAUCAACUGUCAGGAAGUGCUUUUGCCUUGGAGUUAGAUAACAUGUGCCCAGGAUGACCUUGAUAUAAUGACCUGGACUCCAGCUCGAGCACCUGGUUGGGUCCAGCCAGACAGCUAUCUGUGGUCCUUCAGGGAUGUCACGGCAAACUGGCUCUGUCCAGCAGUGUCUCCCAGUAGGCACUGUGAUUGCUCUGCUGGUUCCACAGGCUGGAAAACCUGCACACAUUUCUGUAAAGGACCUGGCUUUGGAGGCUCUGCUCAUACUGCCUCUCUGCCUGCCACCCUCCACCGUGUCUGGAUCAGCUGCCACUGUUACAGGAACUCCCACGGGGUGGAAAUCAUCUCUGAGCUUGCUCACUGCAGCUUCCCGGACACCCAGCACAGCAUCCACCAGUGAAGGAGAGAGUGAAGUCAUGUGAACAGACUGACUGCCUGAGAGCCAGCCUCUUCACACUCCAGAACUUUCUCACACCUAGGAAAAGGGUAGUAAAACUGUCCACCCCCUGCCUUCCCUGACCAGUGUUACAACUUGUCUUCUGAGAGUGUAGUGCUGGCAUCAUCCCCGGUGACUCAUGGAGACUUCUCGACACAUUCUGCCCACCUUACCCCAACCCUCGGCUGUCGAUGCUACCACAUCCUGCUUUUUCAUGUGGCUUCUGGGGAUCAAUCUUGGGUCUUUAUGCUUGUACAGCAAGCGCUUGACUGACUAAGUCAUCUCUUCAGCCCUCAUUAUUAUAUUUUCCUUUAAAUCCAAAGGUAGAGGAUUAGGGGACAGUAAGGCAAAUGUGACUUAGUGUCCCCCAUUCCCCCAUUCUUGUUUGCACACUGGAGCAAUAAU
This 1325-nucleotide long non-coding RNA is filed under the name Cricetulus griseus (Chinese hamster). RNAcentral describes it as "lncRNA (ENSCGRG00015019741.2)". The record is from RNAcentral. Lineage: Eukaryota; Metazoa; Chordata; Mammalia; Rodentia; Cricetidae.